Long non-coding RNA from Ornithodoros turicata, 655 nucleotides. RefSeq lists it as uncharacterized. The transcript is spliced from 2 exons. The record is from RefSeq and is a predicted model, not a curated record. NCBI's taxonomy places the organism in Eukaryota, Metazoa, Arthropoda, Arachnida, Ixodida, Argasidae.
UCCACUGAAGACUGGCCCGGCGGGCAUCUAGCCAGCCCGCAGUGAUUCGACGAAGGCAACUUUUUCGGCACCAAAGGGACUGGUGGACUGUACUCCAACUCCCUGAUAGCUGUAUAAGAAUAGCUGACGGCCCCUAAGUAGAUGUCAGCGUUCGGAAGCUCGAGUCGUAAAAGUCUUACAACAUCAGCACAGCCUGCAUUGGUGGCUGCGCCGAAGAAACAUGUUUGGAGUGAAGCCCUCGGGAGCGCCAGGCUUCAGUCUCAGGUUUUUAUUUCUUCGCCAACUACCUUAUUGUCUCGCACCGCACUUCCAUCAGGAGUGCCAGGUGAUAGUUGGCAGAAGAAAAUGUUACACCGGGAAGAAACCCAGUGCCGGUUUGCUGAAGUUGACGCAGAUGUGCCUGAACUUUGAAUGUCAAUGCACGCUUCUCGUGGGCCUGUUUCUGGCCCCCGGCUCUCAGACAGUUCCAUGUGUCAUGUUUGAGCAUCUAUAGCCUCUGGGAACACUGCAGCUCCAGAAACAUUUUGUGUACACCCGAUAAUAUAUCUUUCCCAUUAAUUACACAGCUGAAGACACGUCCACUAUGAAACUGUAAGCUCCACUGAAACAGUAAGGAAGCUCAUCUCAAUAAAACUCUCCCGACUCAUUUGCUUUA